This 804-nucleotide ribosomal RNA is filed under the name Triticum aestivum (bread wheat). RNAcentral's name for it is "partial small subunit ribosomal RNA". The record is from RNAcentral. Lineage: Eukaryota; Viridiplantae; Streptophyta; Magnoliopsida; Poales; Poaceae.
AUGGAGAGCAGGCCCCGCCUACCAGCAGCAGUAACAGCAAGAGAGCCCGUGUUGACUCACGUGGUGUGUCAGGAGAUAGAUCGGCGGCCUCCCUUGAGGAGGACCUCUGGAUGCAAUGAAUAUCUUAGUUUGGAACUGUCGAGGGGGGACCGCCGGACAGUUCGUGAGGUUUUGGCCCUCUCUAAAGCCAAUUCCCCGGGGCUUGUUUUUCUUUUAGAAACAAGACAUGCCUCUUCAAAGAUGGAGAAACUAAAGUGGAGGUUACAGAUGAAGUGUUUUGCGGGUGUGUCGAGUGAUGGGCUCAGUGGUGGACUUGCGCUCUAUUGGGAUGAGAAGUUGCAUGUGACAGUGUUGGAUUCCUGUGCACGGUACAUUGAUGUGUGGAUUGUAGAUGUGGCAAGUGAAAAGAACUGGAGAACGACAUUUGUUUAUGGUGAACCUCGGGUGGAAAACCGUCAUCACAUGUGGAGUUCACUCUCCCAGCUUCGCGCGUUCUCUUCGGAGCCGUGGUUAGUGUGUGGCGACUUCAACGAGGCGAUGUGGCAACAUGAGCAUAUGUCCAUAACCCAGCGUUCUGAAAAUCAGAUGGUGAUGUUCCGUGACUGUUCGUUGGCAUGCGAGUUAUGGGACCUCGGUUUUUCAGGGUAUCCUUUCACAUAUGAUAAUGCGCAACUUGGUGAGAGGAACGUGCGAGUUCGCCUUGACCGAGCAUAUGCGGAUGAAAACUGGAGGGAGCUCUUCCAUGUCGCACAAGUUCUUCAUCUUGCAUCAUCGUGUUCAGACCAUAGCCCGAUCUUGGUUUAG